AUACUUACCUGACAGGGGAGAAUCCAUGAUCAAGAAGAUGGUUUUCCCAGGGCGAGGCUUACCCAUUGCACUCUGGGUAUGCAGACCCCUGCAAUUUCCCUAAUGUAGGAUACACGACUGCAUAAUUUGUGUUAGUGGAGAACUGUGUUCAUGCUCUCCC
Molecule: small nuclear RNA, 160 nt
Filed under: Carlito syrichta (Philippine tarsier)
Lineage: Eukaryota; Metazoa; Chordata; Mammalia; Primates; Tarsiidae
Description: U1 spliceosomal RNA (ENSTSYG00000036205.1)
Rfam family: U1 spliceosomal RNA
About the family: U1 is a small nuclear RNA (snRNA) component of the spliceosome (involved in pre-mRNA splicing). Its 5' end forms complementary base pairs with the 5' splice junction, thus defining the 5' donor site of an intron. There are significant differences in sequence and secondary structure between metazoan and yeast U1 snRNAs, the latter being much longer (568 nucleotides as compared to 164 nucleotides in human).
Source: RNAcentral